AGCGAACGCUGGCGGCAGGCUUAACACAUGCCAGUCGAGCGGGCAUCCUUGUGGUGUCAGCGGCAGACGGGUGAGUAACGCGUGGGAACGUGCCCUUCGGUUCGGAAUAACUCAGGGAAACUUGAGCUAAUACCGGAUACGCCCUUUUGGGGAAAGGUUUACUGCCGAAGGAUCGGCCCGCGUCUGAUUAGCUAGUUGGUGAGGUUAUGGCUCACCGAGGCGACGAUCAGUAGCUGGUCUGAGAGGAUGAUCAGCCACACUGGGACUGAGACACGGCCCAGACUCCUACGGGAGGCAGCAGUGGGGAAUAUUGGACAAUGGGGGCAACCCUGAUCCAGCCAUGCCGCGUGAGUGAUGACGGCCUUAGGGUUGUAAAGCUCUUUUCUCCGGGACGAUAAUGACGGUACCGGAGGAAUAAGCCCCGGCUAACUUCGUG
Molecule: ribosomal RNA, 436 nt
Filed under: uncultured bacterium
Lineage: Bacteria
Description: partial 16S ribosomal RNA
Rfam family: Bacterial small subunit ribosomal RNA
Source: RNAcentral